Unclassified non-coding RNA from Macaca mulatta (Rhesus monkey), 148 nucleotides. It matches the Rfam family "Metazoan signal recognition particle RNA". Rfam says of the family: The signal recognition particle (SRP) is a universally conserved ribonucleoprotein. It is involved in the co-translational targeting of proteins to membranes. The eukaryotic SRP consists of a 300-nucleotide 7S RNA and six proteins: SRPs 72, 68, 54, 19, 14, and 9. The record is from Ensembl. NCBI's taxonomy places the organism in Eukaryota, Metazoa, Chordata, Mammalia, Primates, Cercopithecidae.
GCCGGGUAUGGGGGUGCGUGCCUGUAAUCCCAGCUACCUGGGAGGCUGAGGCAGGAGAAUUGCUUGAACCCAGGAGGCAGAGGUUGCAGUGAGCUGAGAUCACACCACUGCACUACAGCCUGGGCAACAGAGUGAGACUCUGUCUCAA